Molecule: unclassified non-coding RNA, 161 nt
Filed under: soil metagenome
Description: partial internal transcribed spacer 1
Source: RNAcentral
CAGAGUUGCAAGACUCCCUAAACCAUUGUGAACCUACCUUCUACCGUUGCUUCGGCGGGCGGGCCCAGCGCCCCCCCCCGGCCUCCCGCGGGCGCCCGCCGGAGGAUACCCAAACUCUUGACAUUAGUGGCCUCUCUGAGUAUUCUUUACUGAAUAAGUCA